UCCGGACGCUUAUCAACACCGAGAGAUGAUGACGAGGCGCUAAGGUGCCGAAGUAACCGAUACCACACUUCCAGGAAAAGCCACUAAGCGUCAGAUUAUAAUAAACCGUACUAUAAACCGACACAGGUGGUCAGGUAGAGAAUACUCAGGCGCUUGAGAGAACUCGGGUGAAGGAACUAGGCAAAAUAGCACCGUAACUUCGGGAGAAGGUGCGCCGGCGUAGAUUGUAGAGGUAUACCCUUGAAGGUUGAACCGGUCGAAGAUACCAGCUGGCUGCAACUGUUUAUUAAAAACACAGCACUCUGCAAACACGAAAGUGGACGUAUAGGGUGUGAUGCCUGCCCGGUGCUGGAAGGUUAAUUGAUGGCGUUAUCGCAAGAGAAGCGCCUGAUCGAAGCCCCAGUAAACGGCGGCCGUAACUAUAACGGUCCUAAGGUAGCGAAAUUCCUUGUCGGGUAAGUUCCGACCUGCACGAAUGGCAUAAUGAUGGCCAGGCUGUCUCCACCCGAGACUCAGUGAAAUUGAAAUCGCCGUGAAGAUGCGGUGUACCCGCGGCUAGACGGAAAGACCCCGUGAACCUUUACUAUAGCUUGACACUGAACCUUGAAUUUUGAUGUGUAGGAUAGGUGGGAGGCUUUGAAGCGGUAACGCCAGUUAUCGUGGAGCCAUCCUUGAAAUACCACCCUUUAACGUUUGAUGUUCUAACGAAGUGCCUGGAACGGGUACUCGGACAGUGUCUGGUGGGUAGUUUGACUGGGGCGGUCUCCUCCCAAAGAGUAACGGAGGAGCACGAAGGUUUGCUAAUGACGGUCGGACAUCGUCAGGUUAGUGCAAUGGUAUAAGCAAGCUUAACUGCGAGACGGACAAGUCGAGCAGGUGCGAAAGCAGGUCAUAGUGAUCCGGUGGUUCUGAAUGGAAGGGCCAUCGCUCAACGGAUAAAAGGUACUCCGGGGAUAACAGGCUGAUACCGCCCAAGAGUUCAUAUCGACGGCGGUGUUUGGCACCUCGAUGUCGGCUCAUCACAUCCUGGGGCUGAAGUAGGUCCCAAGGGUAUGGCUGUUCGCCAUUUAAAGUGGUACGCGAGCUGGGUUUAAAACGUCGUGAGACAGUUUGGUCCCUAUCUGCCGUGGGCGUUGGAGAAUUGAGAGGGACUGCUCCUAGUACGAGAGGACCGGAGUGGACGCAUCACUGGUGUUCCGGUUGUGUCGCCAGACGCAUUGCCGGGUAGCUACAUGCGGAAGAGAUAAGUGCUGAAAGCAUCUAAGCACGAAACUUGCCUCGAGAUGAGUUCUCCCAGUAUUUAAUACUGUAAGGGUUGUUGGAGACGACGACGUAGAUAGGCCGGGUGUGUAAGCGUUGCGAGACGUUGAGCUAACCGGUACUAAUUGCCCGAGAGGCUUAGCCA
RNAcentral lists this ribosomal RNA (1405 nucleotides) under Basfia succiniciproducens. RNAcentral's name for it is "bacterial LSU rRNA". It matches the Rfam family "Bacterial large subunit ribosomal RNA", at positions 1541 to 2925 of the family's 2925-position model. Lineage: Bacteria; Pseudomonadati; Pseudomonadota; Gammaproteobacteria; Pasteurellales; Pasteurellaceae. The record is from RNAcentral.